Armigeres subalbatus is the source of this 1261-nucleotide long non-coding RNA. RefSeq lists it as uncharacterized. The transcript is spliced from 4 exons. NCBI's taxonomy places the organism in Eukaryota, Metazoa, Arthropoda, Insecta, Diptera, Culicidae. The record is from RefSeq and is a predicted model, not a curated record.
CUGUUCCUUCCUGUUCCUGCCGCUGAAUCCUUCGGGCAAUAUCAAGAUAUUCAACGAUUUAAAACUGAUGGUCUUGAAAUAUUCAUGUUAUGACCAGGUUGAAUUAAAAAUAUAAAUAGGAACGAAAACUUUUGCAUAACAUUUUACUCGGAGAUUGGCUGGAUUUAUUUGAGCGUGUACUUUUUGUUUAUGAUUAGUGGAAUGAAAAAAUGAAACUGAUGUUGUGGUGCAGGAAGUGUCCCUUCAUUAUACGGAUUCUGGGAGUGGGCAAGCGGCGGAUCAUAGGCUGCUGUGUCGUGAAGGAAGUUUAUGGUAAAACCACGUAAGACUGAAUAUCGUUCGGCAGCUAUUAUUGGCCUAUCUUACCAAUUAGAUACAAUAAUAACUGAUACAGGUUCACACAUAACCUGAUGUGUUAGAGAAAACGACUAACUUCGAUUCACCCACUCAAGAAAAAACAAGUCGUAUGUAAGUCCUAUAGGAGACAUCAAGCUCUCUUUCCUGGUGGCUGAAAUUACACCGUGCUCAGCGAGUAUAGCGAGGUGCAUGAUCGGCGCAUUUGAUUUUAACGUCAAUGCAUCAGUGACUAAGUAAAAGCAAAGCGCCAAACAACAAUACUAACACAUUAAAUUUUGGAUUGAAUGAAAACUAAUUUGAAAUCGAACAAAAACUGGAUCAAAACAAAAUUUAAAUUGAAUUCAAAUGAAAUUCAAAUAUAAUUAAAGUAAAUUGGAAUUAAAUUCAAAUUAAAAUUAUUGUUGAAUCACAUUGAAUUGAAAUUAAAGUAAAAUUAAGCCUAUACUAAAAUAAAAUUAAAUUGAAUGAAUCGACUGCUUUGAGCGUGCUUACAGCGGCACACUAGGAGUUAACUUUCUGAAAUCAGUAUGGCGAAAGGCAUCUAAGGUUCGAUUUCUCCAAAUUAAGCACUUUAAUGGAAAAAAUAUUUGGUAGGCGUAGUAGCGGACACCAUCCCUCAUAACCGGUACCAAACAGUUUUACAUGAAAAGUUCCUAAUUUUGAGAAAACCAGCGUUAGAUGUCUUUCGCCAUACAAAUUUCUGGCGGUUAACUCUUGCUGGCUAUUUUGUGCAUAUACUAUAGCGCCUGGAUGUGGCUGCGGCGGGUAGAAAAUCAGCCACUGCCAAUAAUUCAUUGAAAUAAAUUGUAGGACAUAAAGUUGUAUUGUAUUUUUAUUGUAAUAUUAGAGUAAAAUGUAUUCUAAAUUUUAUUAUAUUUCUACUGUAAAACAAUAAAAAAAGUGA